CGGCCCUCAAAUGAUCUUGCGCAUGUCAAGACGUGCGGCGCGGUUGUUUUGGCGUGCCCCCGAUUAGCGUGCGCAACCGCAGAUCCGUUUUUGCAUUUGCCACACACGAGCGAGCAAUGAGCAACGCAAAUAAACGCUGAUUAGCGCCGUCCGUAAGAUCUCCUUGGUAGAUUCUUGUCCCGUAUUGUGGAGCGCAGAUCUAAUUAGCGUCAACGCGGACGGACGCAAAUGCGACUCCUCACGUCAUCCCCGCAGCGUCGUUGCCCGCGUCCCAAACUAAAUGUGCUGGAAUUAUGAUUCUCCUUCUUUUCUAGCAAUUAUUCUUGUCCUAGUUUUGCUCCGGAGAGGAUCAAAUGCGGCGAGGAAGAGACGCAGCACAAACACGUUGAAGUGACGUCGUAUCUCAACGGGGCCUCCAGUCCCCGAGCGGGGUUGCGUCAGGGAGGCCUAAAUCCGCCGUCAAAACUGUCAGACAAGCCGAAAGAAGAAACACGGUAAAGUACUUACAGCCGACUUAAUCUCCAGAUGCCGAGCGGCUCCUUGGGCCAACGAGGUUAAUGCACCCGGGGAGGAAGAGAAGCAACCAGCUGUUGGCCUUCUAAUGUUUAAAACCUCCCUCCGUCCCUCCGUCCCUCCAUCCCUCCAUCCCUAUUCUAUUCUUUCCGUCUCCCUCCAUCAAAGAAAGAAAAGCCCGCGCGGGAAAAUGCGCUCAAGCGGCGAAACAUCUGCCGCCGGCGUUUCGCUGCGUCUUAACUCCUCCGGAGCGACAACAUGAGGCCGUUUUCAGGGCGCGGGCGACGGG
Long non-coding RNA from Syngnathoides biaculeatus (alligator pipefish), 802 nucleotides. RefSeq lists it as uncharacterized. The record is from RefSeq and is a predicted model, not a curated record. Lineage: Eukaryota; Metazoa; Chordata; Actinopteri; Syngnathiformes; Syngnathidae. The transcript is spliced from 3 exons.